Molecule: long non-coding RNA, 430 nt
Filed under: Setaria viridis
Lineage: Eukaryota; Viridiplantae; Streptophyta; Magnoliopsida; Poales; Poaceae
Description: long non-coding RNA (SVIR_LNC000589)
Source: RNAcentral
UGUGUCCUCACAUGAACUCCGACUAGGGACAACUUUAGAAUAACCAUACAAGUAAAGAGUUUUACACACAAUUCACAUAAUUGCAAAUCAAUUCAAGUAGCCUUUAAUGGAUAUUCAAGGAACACAAUAUAAAUCAUGGAUACAAAUGGAAUAUCAUCAUCUCUAUGAUUGCCUCUAGGGCAUACCUCCAACAUAAUUAUAUGUGGACUAAGUCCACUUAAGGCAAACAUAAAUUUAACCAAUCGGGCCUGAUAAAUAAUUGAUUUCAUUUCAAUUUUUAUCCGGUUGGUAAAAUAAUAAAAAGAAUGCACAUAUUUAUGAAUACAAGAAAACAAAUUAUGUUCCCCAUCGAGACAACCACUACCAUAUUGUUCAUCACAUAUCACAAAAUAUUACAAGAUAACUGUCUCAUAAAGAACAGAGAUUAACA